GCCCAAGAGAUCGGGAUAACACCUGGAAACAGAUGCUAAUACCGGAUAACAACAGAUGAUGCCUAUCAAUUGUUUAAAAGAUGGUUCUGCUAUCACUCUUGGAUGGACCUGCGGUGCAUUAGCUAGUUGGUAGGGUAACGGCCUACCAAGGCGAUGAUGCAUAGCCGAGUUGAGAGACUGAUCGGCCACAUUGGGACUGAGACACGGCCCAAACUCCUACGGGAGGCAGCAGCG
This 234-nucleotide ribosomal RNA is filed under the name uncultured Lactobacillus sp. Its description in RNAcentral is "partial 16S ribosomal RNA". It matches the Rfam family "Bacterial small subunit ribosomal RNA", at positions 128 to 356 of the family's 1533-position model. The record is from RNAcentral. Lineage: Bacteria; Bacillati; Bacillota; Bacilli; Lactobacillales; Lactobacillaceae.